Molecule: ribosomal RNA, 425 nt
Filed under: uncultured bacterium
Lineage: Bacteria
Description: partial 16S ribosomal RNA
Rfam family: Bacterial small subunit ribosomal RNA
Source: RNAcentral
UGCCAGCAGCCGCGGUAAUACGAAGGGGGCUAGCGUUGCUCGGAAUUACUGGGCGUAAAGGGCGCGUAGGCGGACAGUUAAGUUGGGGGUGAAAUCCCGAGGCUCAACCUCGGAACUGCCUUCGAUACUGGCNUGUCUUGAGUUCGGGAGAGRUGAGUGGAAUGCCGAGUGUARAGGUGAAAUUCGUAGAUAUUCRGCGGAACACCAGUGGCGAAGGCGACUCACUGGCCCGAUACUGACGCUGAUGCGCGAAAGCGUGGGGAGCAAACAGGAUUAGAUACCCUGGUAGUCCACGCCGUAAACGAUGAGUGCUAGYUGUCSGCAUGCAUGCAUGUCRGWGACGCAGCUAACGCAUUAAGCACUCCGCCUGGGGAGUACGGUCGCMAGAUUAAAACUCAAAGGAAUUGACGGGGGCCMGCACAAGA